Non-coding RNA from Prunus avium (sweet cherry), 483 nucleotides. Lineage: Eukaryota; Viridiplantae; Streptophyta; Magnoliopsida; Rosales; Rosaceae. The record is from RefSeq and is a predicted model, not a curated record.
GGCGCGUGGGAGCGUGAGCUUCAACGUGAGGCUUUUGGCUAGGUUUGAGUUUCGGAGAGGUGGGUGGAGGCUGAGGCGGAGGCUCUUGAGGGUUUUGUGCCGUGGCGUGGCGGUUUCUGUUUCGUCGAAAGGCGGGUUGGGUACUUUGGGCGGUGGGUCAAGAGAUUGCCAAGUUGUUGUUUGAGAUGGGGGCAAUGCGUGUGGUGCAAAUGAGGUCAAGUAGAGCUCAUUUGCCUUUCAUGGCUCUUGGUGUUUUUUGAUGGAGGCUUGCUUAGAAAAUGGAUGGAGGCAACAUUAUUUAGUACAAACUAGAAAGAAACAGAGUAGUUGCUUAGAACAUCUGUCUCAUGCUCGUUUUGGCUUUGGUUAUUAAACUCGUUGAAUCCACCUUACGAGUGGUUGUUUAGAACAUCUAUAGGCUUUGCUGAUCCUAGUGGAUUUGGAAAUGGAUGGGAUAUAUGUUCAAAAAUCAAGAGCUUUUUU